GAUGAACGCUGGCGGCGUGCCUAAUACAUGCAAGUCGAGCGAACGGACGAGAAGCUUGCUUCUCUGAUGUUAGCGGCGGACGGGUGAGUAACACGUGGAUAACCUACCUAUAAGACUGGGAUAACUUCGGGAAACCGUAGCUAAUACCGGAUAAUAUUUUGAACCGCAUGGUUCAAAAGUGAAAGACGGUCUUGCUGUCACUUAUAGAUGGAUCCGCGCUGCAUUAGCUAGUUGGUAAGGUAACGGCUUACCAAGGCAACGAUGCAUAGCCGACCUGAGAGGGUGAUCGGCCACACUGGAACUGAGACACGGUCCAGACUCCUACGCGAGGCAGCAGUAGGGAAUCUUCCGCAAUGGGCGAAAGCCUGACGGAGCAACGCCGCGUGAGUGAUGAAGGUCUUCGGAUCGUAAAACUCUGUUAUUAGGGAAGAACAUAUGUGUAAGUAACUGUGCACAUCUUGACGGUACCUAAUCAGAAAGCCACGGCUAACUACGUG
Molecule: ribosomal RNA, 497 nt
Filed under: uncultured bacterium
Lineage: Bacteria
Description: partial 16S ribosomal RNA
Rfam family: Bacterial small subunit ribosomal RNA
Source: RNAcentral